UACGUAGGUGGCAAGCGUUGUCCGGAUUUAUUGGGCGUAAAGAGCGCGCAGGCGGUUGGAUAAGUCGAAUGUGAAAGCCCCCGGCUUAACUGGGGAGGGUCAUUCGAUACUGUUCAACUUGAAGGCAGGAGAGGGCAGCAGAAUUCCCGGUGUAGUGGUGAAAUGCGUAGAUAUCGGGAGGAAUACCAGUGGCGAAGGCGGCUGCCUGGCCUGUUCUUGACGCUGAGGCGCGAAAGCUGGGGGAGCAAACGGG
Molecule: ribosomal RNA, 253 nt
Filed under: uncultured bacterium
Lineage: Bacteria
Description: partial 16S ribosomal RNA
Rfam family: Bacterial small subunit ribosomal RNA
Source: RNAcentral